AACGGCGAGUGAAGCGGUAACAGCUCAAAUUUGAAAUCUGGCCUCACGGUCCGAGUUGUAAUUUGUAGAGGAUGCUUCGAGCAUGGUCUGGCCUAAGUUCCUUGGAACAGGACGUCAUAGAGGGUGAGAAUCCCGUAUGCGGCCAGGUGCCUACGCUCAUGUGAAGCUCCUUCGACGAGUCGAGUUGUUUGGGAAUGCAGCUCAAAAUGGGUGGUAAAUUUCAUCUAAAGCUAAAUAUUGGCCAGAGACCGAUAGCGCACAAGUAGAGUGAUCGAAAGAUGAAAAGCACUUUGGAAAGAGAGUUAAACAGUACGUGAAAUUGUUGAAAGGGAAGCGCUUGCAACCAGACUUGCGCGCGGCCGAUCAUCCGGUGUUCUCACCGGUGCACUCGGCCGUGCUCAGGCCAGCAUCGGUUUUGGCGGCUGGAUAAAGGCCCUAGGAAUGUAGCUCCUCUCGGGGAGUGUUAUAGCCUAGGGUGCAAUGCAGCCUGCUGGGACCGAGGACCGCGCUUCGGCUAGGAUGCUGGCGUAAUGGUUGUAAGCGGCCCGUCUUGAAACACGGACCAAGGAGUCUAACAUCUAUGCGAGUGUUUGGGUGUCAAACCCAUACGCGUAAUGAAAGUGAACGGAGGUGAGAACCCUUAAGGGUGCAUCAUCGACCGGUCCUGAAGUUUACGGAAGGAUCUGAGUAAGAGCAUAGCUGUUGGGACCCGAAAGAUGGUGAACUAUGCCUGAAUAGGGUGAAGCCAGAGGAAACUCUGGUGGAGGCUCGCAGCGGUUCUGACGUGCAAAUCGAUCGUCAAAUUUGGGUAU
RNAcentral lists this ribosomal RNA (812 nucleotides) under Pseudogymnoascus sp. Its description in RNAcentral is "partial large subunit ribosomal RNA". It matches the Rfam family "Eukaryotic large subunit ribosomal RNA", at positions 85 to 918 of the family's 3401-position model. Lineage: Eukaryota; Fungi; Ascomycota; Leotiomycetes; Thelebolales; Thelebolaceae. The record is from RNAcentral.